UAGGGAAUCUUCCGCAAUGGGCGAAAGCCUGACGGAGCAACGCCGCGUUAGUUAUGAAGGUCUUCGGAUCGUAAAACUCUGUUAUUAGGGAAGAACAAAUGUGUAAGUAACUAUGCACGUCUUGACGGUACCUAAUCAGAAAGCCACGGCUAACUACGUGCCAGCAGCCGCGGUAAUACGUAGGUGGCAAGCGUUAUCCGGAAUUAUUGGGCGUAAAGCGCGCGUAGGCGGUUUUUUAAGUCUGAUGUGAAAGCCCACGGCUAAACCGUGGAGGGUCAUUGGAAACUGGAAAACUUGAGUGCAGAAGAGGAAAGGGGAAUUCCAUGUGUAGCGGUGAAAAGCGCAGAGAUAUGGAGGAAAAAAAGUGGCGAAGGCGAAUUUCUGGUCUGUAACUGACGCUGAUGUGCGAAAGCGUGGGGAUCAAACAGG
This 429-nucleotide ribosomal RNA is filed under the name Actinomycetes bacterium. RNAcentral describes it as "Actinobacteria bacterium partial 16S ribosomal RNA". It matches the Rfam family "Bacterial small subunit ribosomal RNA", at positions 355 to 776 of the family's 1533-position model. The record is from RNAcentral. Lineage: Bacteria; Bacillati; Actinomycetota; Actinomycetes.